GAUGAACGCUGGCGGCGUGCCUAAUACAUGCAAGUCGAGCGAACAGACGAGGAGCUUGCUCCUCUGACGUUAGCGGCGGACGGGUGAGUAACACGUGGAUAACCUACCUAUAAGACUGGGAUAACUUCGGGAAACCGGAGCUAAUACCGGAUAAUAUAUUGAACCGCAUGGUUCAAUAGUGAAAGACGGUUUUGCUGUCACUUAUAGAUGGAUCCGCGCCGCAUUAGCUAGUUGGUAAGGUAACGGCUUACCAAGGCGACGAUGCGUAGCCGACCUGAGAGGGUGAUCGGACACACUGGAACUGAGACACAGUCCAGACUCCUACGGGAGGCAGCAGUAGGGAAUCUUCCGGAAUGGGGGAAAGCCUGACGGAGCAACGCCGCGGGAGUGAUGAAGGUCCUCGGAUCGUAAAACUCUGUUAUUCGGGAAGAACAAAAGUGUAAGUAACUAUGCACGUCUUGACGGUACCUAAUCAGAAAGCCACGGCUAACUACGUG
This 497-nucleotide ribosomal RNA is filed under the name uncultured bacterium. Its description in RNAcentral is "partial 16S ribosomal RNA". It matches the Rfam family "Bacterial small subunit ribosomal RNA", at positions 28 to 507 of the family's 1533-position model. The record is from RNAcentral.